This is a long non-coding RNA of Manis javanica (Malayan pangolin), 1322 nucleotides long. RefSeq lists it as uncharacterized. The record is from RefSeq and is a predicted model, not a curated record. Lineage: Eukaryota; Metazoa; Chordata; Mammalia; Pholidota; Manidae.
GGCGAGUCCAGCUCUGCUGGCUACUUACGCUGGGGAAGGGCUGUGACUCUGAAGGCUGCGGGCCCACGGAGAGUCUGCUUUUCAGCAGCUGGACGGCCUCCUCCUCCAUUCAGAAACAGAUGAACUACUGAAGUCCAGAGAGAUCAAGUCACAUGGCCCAAGACCAGCAGAGAGGAAGAGGGGAAGGAAGGAGUCCGGUGCCCCAAACCCUGCCUGUGAACUAAGGAUGCAGCAAUGCCAUCUUGAAAUAUGCUUGGAAAGAGUCCAAAGGUAAUUGACUGCUUUCCUCUCUUGUUCAUUUGCUUCUAGAGUAGAGCGUGGAGUCUUGGCAGCCAAAGACAGUUGGGAAGGUCCCAGCUUAUGGGAUCCCCCUCACUGAUCUGAGAAGAGGGUAUAGGUCAGGGUCUGGGUCAGUGGCUAAUGCCGUGGCUGAGACGGCCUGGCCAGAGCGCUGCUGAGAGGAGCCAAGAGCAUAGCUGGGGAAGCAGGACCUGGGCCAAGUCUGAAACGGAAGGGAAAUGGAGUCCUGAGAACCGGCCCUGAGCUCAUCUGUAGAAGAGCAGUGUGUGGGGGGAGGAUGCAGCUCAGAAGCCAGACUGUGGUGUCCAGGCUGCGCUGAUGCCCCAUUUUACAUGUUGUGCGCAGGUUGGGGUGGUGCCCGGAGCUGGAGAAUCAGAGACAGGAUCACACAAGGCCCGGUUCAUCCAUGAUAGCAAAGCUCAAAGAGGUUUUGCAACUAACCUCCCAGUGCCCCGUGAGAACAGUCUAUUAGAAUGCGUUGAUGCAUCGACCCAAUGCACCAAGUUUUCUGUUUAGGGUUUCUUAUUCUCUAUUUUUAAAAACCUCUCUUUUGUAUGUGAUAGAAAUGUAUCUGUUCAAAAAGCUUAACGCAUCUUGAUCUUUCUGCUGCCCUUGAGCAAUUGAGAUCGUCGGAGCUGAAAGGACCUUGGAGAUUAUCUUCGCUGCCCCCUCCUGUUUCAGAUGAAGAAGCUGAGUCCUAGAAGGCAGAAAUGAUGUAUACGCGUCUCACAGCAAGCGUGGGCUGGAACCACACCUCCCGCAGGCGGCCUUCCUUCCUACAGGAAGUUCCCCACCAGGCCUCUGCGGGUGCAGAGUCUCCGCCAGAUCAGACCAGCAAGGGGACCUCCAAGAACACCAAGGCCCUGGCUGCUCUGUGGGUUUGAGUGAAAUGACAGAUCUUCCUUCAACUGUCCCUUUAGCUUCCUUUUUCCCUCCUCCAUCUCUGAGGCCACCUGGGAAUUUUGAUAUGAAAAGUCCAGUCUUGCAGCGCGUGAGGAUUAUGAGGAACUGAGAAAUCACCU